Molecule: non-coding RNA, 233 nt
Organism: Paramuricea clavata
Lineage: Eukaryota; Metazoa; Cnidaria; Anthozoa; Malacalcyonacea; Plexauridae
Source: the annotation of a GenBank genome assembly
CAGCGAAGCACAGUCAUAUUAUAAAUGCUGAUGUUGUAUCGCACGACUUCCCUCACGAUUUGAAGUUUGAGACUGGUUUUCUGUUGAAAUUCGUCUUAAUUUGCCUGUUCCGAUUUUAGUUGAAAAUGAGCACCGGCAAAUUUGGCAAUUACUGACGGCGUUGCUUGCUUUUUUGGAGUUAAAACGCAGCCAUUUAGACAUUGUUUAUGUUCUGAAUAAGCAGAGAAAAGGGG